This 173-nucleotide ribosomal RNA is filed under the name Bacillus sp. (in: firmicutes). RNAcentral describes it as "Bacillus sp. (in: Bacteria) partial 16S ribosomal RNA". It matches the Rfam family "Bacterial small subunit ribosomal RNA", at positions 1142 to 1314 of the family's 1533-position model. The record is from RNAcentral. Lineage: Bacteria; Bacillati; Bacillota; Bacilli; Caryophanales; Bacillaceae.
AAGGUGACUGCCGGUGACAAACCGGAGGAAGGUGGGGAUGACGUCAAAUCAUCAUGCCCCUUAUGACCUGGGCUACACACGUGCUACAAUGGACAGAACAAAGGGCAGCGAAACCGCGAGGUUAAGCCAAUCCCACAAAUCUGUUCUCAGUUCGGAUCGCAGUCUGCAACUCG